Long non-coding RNA from Brassica napus (rape), 1135 nucleotides. RefSeq lists it as uncharacterized. Lineage: Eukaryota; Viridiplantae; Streptophyta; Magnoliopsida; Brassicales; Brassicaceae. The record is from RefSeq and is a predicted model, not a curated record. The transcript is spliced from 3 exons.
UCUUCUCUGAUCGACGCCCCUUUUUACAGUGACCUCUUUUGAUAAUGAAACGACACACCUUUUAAACUGAUUAAUAGAUUGAAGAACUGGUUUGAGCCGUUGUUUUUUUCUGAGAACGCUUCUCAAUCCAAGUCCCAAAGGAAAAGUUUUGGUUCAACGGCUACAAUUGAUUUCUAAUAGAUCUCGCCGCGAAUCUAAACUACCGCCGCCGUCUCCGUUGAUGACGAGAAACCGACGUUAUAAAGUUGAUCAGAGAGAAGAGUAAGAAGUAAGAAGAAAGUUGUGGCGGUGACAACUCUGCCAUGGACGGAAUUGAAAAGCUAAAAGUUCAGAAAAUAAGAUAGGAAGUUUGUCUGUUAAAGCUUCGCUGUUUCUUGGGUCGUAAGCUACCGGAGCAGACGUCAGUGGUUAAACCCGGGUCUAUUAAAGACACAGACCUAACCCCCGGAUGGAGGUACAGCCCACGGAUAGACCCUCUCCUGGGCAUUCAAAUGAGCCGAAAACAAUAGCCCAUAUUCGUGUGGCCAGCGGGGUUUGAACCGGUUCAAACUAAUUAUCCAUUCCUUAUUUCACAUAUAUGUUCUUUUUCAUCUCUUGCAUGUUCUCAACUUACGGUUACAUGUUAUUUGUCUGAUUAGGCUGGUUCCAUAUGGCAAAAGAAUCUAGAUAUCUAUUGAAUAUUUAUAGCUGUAGUCCGAGUAGGCUUUUUCUUGUGAAUGUGAUUGUAUUACAGAUCCAGCAUCACCCCUGGGACAGUACCGAUCAUCCUUUUUUUUUAACCAACUACCCUCUGUUUUUCUUUUUUGUGACCGAUCAAUGAUUGCCAGAAACUGAAAGUCUCUGAUGUUAGCCUCGAUAAAUUUGAUGAUCAGUAUUUUGGAAAGGUAGCCGAGAAGAAGACCAGUAAGGGAAAAGGAGAGUCCGAUGGAGCCGUGGAUGUAUAUCUCUGAAUUAUACUUUCCUUUUAUUAUUCUCAAAUUGUAAACAGUACAAACCUGAGCACAAAUCCUAUGCACGGGAGCUCAUCUUAAACGUUAUCUUGUUUUUAUUUUCCUAUAAAAAAUUGCUAACAUCAAUGCGGGUUUACUAUUAUAUAUAUAUAUAUAGAUAAUGGUAACGUUACCAUUAGACAUAA